Molecule: ribosomal RNA, 460 nt
Filed under: uncultured bacterium
Lineage: Bacteria
Description: partial 16S ribosomal RNA
Rfam family: Bacterial small subunit ribosomal RNA
Source: RNAcentral
CCUACGGGUGGCAGCAGUGAGGAAUAUUGGUCAAUGGGCGAGAGCCUGAACCAGCCAAGUCGCGUGAAGGAUGACGGCCCUACGGGUUGUAAACUUCUUUUGUCAGGGAGCAAUUGAGUCCACGUGUGGUCUUAGCGAGAGUACCUGAAGAAAAAGCAUCGGCUAACUCCGUGCCAGCAGCCGCGGUAAUACGGAGGAUGCGAGCGUUAUCCGGAUUUAUUGGGUUUAAAGGGUGCGUAGGCGGAAUAUCAAGUCAGCGGUAAAAAUUCGGGGCUCAACCCCGUCGUGCCGUUGAAACUGAUGUUUUUGAGUGGGCGAGAAGGAUGCGGAAUGCGUGGUGAAGCGGUGAAAUGCAGGGAUACCACGCAGAACUCGGAUUGCGAAGGCAGCAUCCCGGCGCCCAACUGACGCGGAAGCACGAAAGCGUGGGUAUCGAACAGGAUUAGAUACCCCUGUAGUC